RNAcentral lists this ribosomal RNA (250 nucleotides) under uncultured bacterium. RNAcentral describes it as "partial 16S ribosomal RNA". It matches the Rfam family "Bacterial small subunit ribosomal RNA", at positions 524 to 773 of the family's 1533-position model. The record is from RNAcentral.
UACGGAGGGUGCGAGCGUUAAUCGGAAUUACUGGGCGUAAAGCGCACGCAGGCGGCUGCGUAAGUCAGAUGUGAAAGCCCCGGGCUUAACCUGGGAAUUGCAUUUGAAACUGCGCAGCUAGAGUGUGGGAGAGGAAAGUGGAAUUCCCGGUGUAGCGGUGAAAUGCGUGGAUAUCGGGAGGAACACCAGUGGCGAAGGCGACUUUCUGGACCAACACUGACGCUCAGGUGCGAAAGCGUGGGGAGCAAAC